Molecule: unclassified non-coding RNA, 404 nt
Filed under: soil metagenome
Description: partial contains 5.8S ribosomal RNA, internal transcribed spacer 2, and large subunit ribosomal RNA
Rfam family: 5.8S ribosomal RNA (bases 1-121)
Source: RNAcentral
GAUGAAGAACGUAGCGAAAUGCGAUAAGUAGUGUGAAUUGCAGAAUUCAGUGAAUCAUCGAAUCUUUGAACGCACCUUGCGCCCUUUGGCUAUUCCGAAGGGCAUGCCUGUUUGAGUAUCAUGAACACCUCAACUCUCAUGGUUUUUCCAUGAUGGGCUUGGACUUUGGGGGUCUUGCUGGCCUAUAGUCAGCUCCUCUUAAAUGAAUCAGCUUGCCAGUGUUUGGUGGCAUCACAGGUGUGAUAACUAUCUACGCUUGUGGUUUUUCCACCAGGUAACCUUCAGCAGUGGAGGUUCGCUGGAGCUCAUAGAUGUCUCUCCUCAGUGAGGACAGCCCUUUGAAUGUUUGAUCUCAAAUCAGGUAGGACUACCCGCUGAACUUAAGCAUAUCAAUAAGCGGAGGA